GAUGAAGAACGCAGCGAAAUGCGAUAAGUAAUGUGAAUUGCAGAAUUCAGUGAAUCAUCGAAUCUUUGAACGCACAUUGCGCCCGCCAGUAUUCUGGCGGGCAUGCCUGUUCGAGCGUCAUUUCAACCCCUCAGGCCCCGCCUGGCGUUGGGGGCCUGCGCCCCGCAGCCCCCGAAAGACAGCGGCGGUCCCGCCCCGGUCCCGAGCGUAGUAGCACACGCCGCUCCGGGCGCCGGGCGGGCUCCGGCCGCAAGCCUCUCCACACAUCAGGUUGACCUCGGAUCAGGUAGGAAUACCCGCUGAACUUAAGCAUAUCAAUAAGCGGAGGA
Molecule: unclassified non-coding RNA, 329 nt
Filed under: soil metagenome
Description: partial contains 5.8S ribosomal RNA, internal transcribed spacer 2, and large subunit ribosomal RNA
Rfam family: 5.8S ribosomal RNA (bases 1-120)
Source: RNAcentral